CCUGACUGCUAUCGGAUUGAUACUAAGCCAUGCGAGUCAUCGUAGCAAUACAAGGCAUACGGCUCAGUAACGCGUAGUCAACCUAACCUAUAGACGGGAAUAACCUCGGGAAACUGAGAAUAAUGCCCGAUAGAACACUAUACCUGGAAUGGUUUGUGUUCCAAAUGAUUUAUCGCCAUAGGAUGGGACUGCGGCCUAUCAGUUUGUUGGUGAGGUAAUGGCCCACCAAGACUAUUACAGGUACGGGCUCUGAGAGGAGUAGCCCGGAGAUGGGUACUGAGACACGGACCCAGGCCCUAUGGGGCGCAGCAGGCGAGAAAACUUUGCAAUGUGCGAAAGCACGACAAGGUUAAUCCGAGUGAUUUGUGCUAAACGAAUCUUUUGUUAGUCCUAGAAACACUAACGAAUAAGGGGUGGGCAAGUUCUGGUGUCAGCCGCCGCGGUAAAACCAGCACCUCAAGUGGUCAGGAUGAUUAUUGGGCCUAAAGCAUCCGUAGCCGGCUCUGUAAGUUUUCGGUUAAAUCUGUACGCUUAACGUACAGGCUGCCGGGAAUACUGCAGAGCUAGGGAGUGGGAGAGGUAGACGGUACUCGGUAGGAAGUGGUAAAAUGCUUUGAUCUAUCGAUGACCACCAGUGGCGAAGGCGGUCUACCAGAACACGUCCGACGGUGAGGGAUGAAAGCUGGGGGAGCAAACCGGAUUAGAUACCCGGGUAGUCCCAGCUGUAAACUAUGCAAACUCAGUGAUGCAUUGGCUUGUGGCCAAUGCAGUGCUGCAGGGAAGCCGUUAAGUUUGCCGCCUGGGAAGUACGUACGCAAGUACGAAACUUAAAGGAAUUGGCGGGGGAGCACCACAAGGGGUGAAGCCUGCGGUUC
Molecule: ribosomal RNA, 875 nt
Filed under: uncultured marine group I thaumarchaeote
Lineage: Archaea; Thermoproteati; Nitrososphaerota
Description: bacterial SSU rRNA
Rfam family: Archaeal small subunit ribosomal RNA
Source: RNAcentral